Molecule: ribosomal RNA, 229 nt
Filed under: uncultured bacterium
Lineage: Bacteria
Description: partial 16S ribosomal RNA
Rfam family: Bacterial small subunit ribosomal RNA
Source: RNAcentral
UGCGUAGGCGGAAUAUUAAGUCAGUGGUGAAAUCCUGCGGCUCAACCGUAGAACUGCCAUUGAUACUGAUAUUCUUGAAUGUAGUUGAGGUAGGCGGAAUGUGUAAUGUAGCGGUGAAAUGCUUAGAUAUUACACAGAACACCGAUUGCGAAGGCAGCUUACUAAACUAUGAUUGUCGCUGAGGCACGAAAGCGUGGGGAGCGAACAGGAUUAGAUACCCUGGUAGUCC